RNAcentral lists this long non-coding RNA (297 nucleotides) under Daucus carota (carrot). Its description in RNAcentral is "long non-coding RNA (DCAR_LNC004070)". The record is from RNAcentral. Lineage: Eukaryota; Viridiplantae; Streptophyta; Magnoliopsida; Apiales; Apiaceae.
CGGGUUGUCCUCGUGCGGGGGCUUGGGGUGAUCAUGAUUGUAGAAGGCCCUCAGGGGUAACAUGAAGGCCGAUCAUAUGUCCGGGUCCUGUAUUCUGGUGAGUUAGUCCUCAUUGGGGGACUGGGACGAUCGUGUAACUUGGCUCCUCAUUUGUCUUACCUUUUAGUGGGAACCUUCACUAGGGGGUAAGGACGCGUCCCUACGCCUCGUAGGAGUGGUCACGGCUCUAUCCGAUGUCUCCUCCAUGCUACGAAGAGUAGCGGUUAGUGUCAUCUCUCGUAGUGGAGAUGAUGCCGU